Brassica napus (rape) is the source of this 1399-nucleotide long non-coding RNA. RefSeq lists it as uncharacterized. The transcript is spliced from 3 exons. Lineage: Eukaryota; Viridiplantae; Streptophyta; Magnoliopsida; Brassicales; Brassicaceae. The record is from RefSeq and is a predicted model, not a curated record.
UCUUUCCAUUAUAAAAAAAUAAAAAACUCACUCCUUAGUAAGUUUACUUUUAGAUUUUUAAUGUUGGACAAAUUUUAUUCUGUCUAGAUUUAUGCUUUUCAGGUAUCAAACUUUAGACGUUUAUUUAUCUUCCAAGCAAAUUACAGUGAUCACUGUAAAGUAAUAUUAUUUUUACUGUGAUCCAAUCAAUGCAUUGACUCUUAUAGCCCAGAUAUUCCGCUAUAAAUCAGAAAGUUGUACGGACAUAUACCAGUGCAACAUAUUCUAAAAUCGUGUUCCAAUAUAAGUAAGACUAAACAUCUUUGCUAACAACAAAAUCAAGCAAAGAAUCAGGCAAAACUUAAAAAAAAAAAAAAAACUAAAACAAACUUCUGUUAUGGGCUUAAAAUUUAGAAAGAUUUACAUUAUAGGACACUUUAUGACUUAUUUAUUUCACUCUGGGACACUUCUUUCCAUUAGAGCACUUUUCUUUAAAGAACUGUUAAGUCUUAACACUUUUAGUUCAAUUCUAACCAUAACGCUAACUAACGGAACCUGGAAAGUGGCGGGACUUUGUUCCUAGCCAUUGAUUUUCCUUAUAUUUUGACGGCCGAGAUUGCACAUAUCUUUCUCUCUCUCUCAUGCAAAUUUUGCUUAUUCUAUCUGAAUUGGACUCUGUGCGUUUACGAGAUAGAUAAAAAAUAGAGUUAUGUAGAUUCUUCGAUCAGGAAAGUUGGGAUAAGCUUUUAAGACUUUGGUAAAGAUUCUACAGAUGGAACAACACGAGAUUGAAUCGUUUCUUAAAGACAGGAAGGAUCUUGAAGAUAAGUCAAAUCUCAACACAAGAACUGGAUAUAUGAUGUUCGUAACUACGAGAAACAACUUUCACGCUCCGGUUAAGUUGUUGGUCUUCUUUGAAACUUCUAAAUGCAAUCUAUUUUCUGCACUAAAGGAAAGGGAUCGUUCUCUUUGCAAUUUGGAACUAGGGGAUUGUAGAAACAAAUGAUUUCUUCACUCUGAAUACAAAAAAAAAAUGGCAACAGGGAUGAUAAAUCAUUGGUAGCAGAGAUGAGAAAACUGAAGCUUGCUUCUGAAAUGAAAUGGGAGGUCUUUGAUCUCUUACAAGAGAGUGGGUUUAUUUGCAGUCAGUUCAAAUGUAUCAAGUGGAUUUGCUGAUAAGUUGAAGAAGAAAGAUGAUGAGAUUGCUCAAGCUUGAAGAAGAAAGAUGAUGAGCUCCUCUGAAUGUUUUUUUUGAUAAGUUUCCUCUGUGAAUGUUGGAGAUGUAAACAUAUAUGUGACAAAUGUAUUCUCAUGUGGCUAUUAUGUGGCGGAUGUACAUUGUAAGGAAUUUGAUUAUGAAAUUGUAGAUGUAUAAUUGUUUUUCAUUCUAUAUAAUCUCCAAUGAACAUUAGGAUAAUGU